RNAcentral lists this long non-coding RNA (803 nucleotides) under Oryctolagus cuniculus (rabbit). Its description in RNAcentral is "lncRNA (ENSOCUG00000034175.1)". The record is from RNAcentral. Lineage: Eukaryota; Metazoa; Chordata; Mammalia; Lagomorpha; Leporidae.
AAUUCAUAUGUAAAUAAAGCAAAAUUUAAAAUAUGCAAAAAGUUAGCUCAGAUAAGUUCCGUAGAAUUUGCAGCAUGUAAGAAUAGCUUAAAGCAAUGUGGUAAUAAUGCUGGGUCAGAGAAUUCUUAUAUGAUUCUAAUGUUUUACAGCCAAAUCAGAGCUGGUUUUGUAUCUCCAUGCCAACUAUUUCCAAUGUGCUCUUGAAAAUUUUAGGAAAGCUUGACAGCACUUUAUGAUAACUAUUUAAUAUUUGCCUUGAUAAUCAUGAAGGAUUGGCAUUGCAUCCAUCAACUGUGGAAGGAUAAGACAUCAGCAUGGAUAAAUUUGUUUAGCAGAGAGAUCUUUUAUGUCUCCAACUGCAAGCAAGAAACUGUACCAGUGCUCUCAAAGCCUAUUUUUGUGCUUACUAGGCUUGUUGCUGGUUCGAGAAUUAAUCAUAAGAGUAGCCAAGUAUACAGCUAGGUAAGGGCACACCCUCCCAGUGGAAUGCGGCGACAGAAGGCAACAGGCUGGAUAAUCUGUAACUAAUGGUGGAUACUGGGCAGAAGGAAACAGGAUGGAUAAUCUAUAACUAAUGGUGGAUACUGGUGUCCGGAGCUCAAGAUUGUAAAUAAGAUUCCGAAUCUUCGUACUGCAAGAUAGGAAUCAGCUUGCUGUCUCUCAUCCUGGAACAUAGGGUUUGGUUUUUCUGUUUCAUAUGGUGGGCUUUGGUUAAUGUAUUUCUGAGCCUUUGUGCUUGCUAGCUUGUAGAAUUGCUUGUAACCCUCUAAUAAAAAUUGCUGGCAGAGAGCUAUUCGGUGGCA